GUAGGGGGCGAGCGUUGUCCGGAAUUAUUGGGCGUAAAGAGCGUGUAGGCGGCCUGGUAAGUCUGCCGUGAAAACCUGGGGCUCAACCCUGGGCGUGCGGUGGAUACUGCUAGGCUAGAGGAUGGUAGAGGCGAGUGGAAUUCCCGGUGUAGCGGUGAAAUGCGCAGAUAUCGGGAGGAACACCAGUAGCGAAGGCGGCUCGCUGGGCCAUACCUGACGCUGAGACGCGAAAGCUAGGGGAGCAAACAGGAUUAGAUACCCUGGUAGUCCUAGCCGUAAACGAUGAACACUAGGUGUGGGCGGAGUCGAAUCUGUCUGUGCCGCAGCUAACGCGAUAAGUGUUCCGCCUGGGGAGUACGGCCGCAAGGCUA
RNAcentral lists this ribosomal RNA (371 nucleotides) under uncultured bacterium. RNAcentral describes it as "bacterial SSU rRNA". It matches the Rfam family "Bacterial small subunit ribosomal RNA", at positions 527 to 896 of the family's 1533-position model. The record is from RNAcentral.